RNAcentral lists this ribosomal RNA (468 nucleotides) under uncultured bacterium. RNAcentral describes it as "partial 16S ribosomal RNA". It matches the Rfam family "Bacterial small subunit ribosomal RNA", at positions 28 to 507 of the family's 1533-position model. The record is from RNAcentral.
GACGGACGCUGGCGGCGUGCUUAACACAUGCAAGUCGAACGGAAAGGCCCUGCUUUUGUGGGUUGCUCGAGUGGCGAACGGGUGAGUAACCCGUGAGUAACCUGCCCUUGACUUUGGGAUAACUUCAGGAAACUGGGGCUAAUACCGGAUAAGAGCUCCUUCUGCAUGGUGGGGGUUGGAAAGUUGCGGCGGUUGGGUAUGGGAUCGCGGCUUAUCAGCUUGUUGUUGGGGUAGUGGCGUACCAAGGCUUGGACGGGUAGCCGGCCUGAGAUGGUGACCGGCAACAGUAGGAUGGAGAUACGGCACAGACUACUACGGGAGGCAGCAGAGGAGAAUAGUGCACAAUGGGCGGAAGCAAGAUGCAGCAAAGCGGCGUGCGGGAGGACGGCCUGCGGGUUGGAAACCGCUUUCGCCUGUGACGAAGAGUGAGUGACGGUAAUGGGUAAAGAAGCAACGGCUAACUACGUG